RNAcentral lists this long non-coding RNA (353 nucleotides) under Carica papaya (papaya). RNAcentral describes it as "long non-coding RNA (CPAP_LNC002347)". Lineage: Eukaryota; Viridiplantae; Streptophyta; Magnoliopsida; Brassicales; Caricaceae. The record is from RNAcentral.
AAUAUUAAAAAAAGAUAAAAAACAUCCCUAUGUUUUUCAUGAAAAAUCAUGGAAAAUUUAAAAAAAAAAAGGAUUCUAAAAAGGACUCCAUGUGGCAAGGAGGCAAGUGUGCGGGUCAGCCCAGGGAAGGCAUGCAUAUCGCGUGCGCGGAUUGCCCCUUUUGGGUCGUGCAGGUCAUGUGCAGGUCGGCCUGUUCGCACACACGUGAGUCGCAUGUGAGGCCCUGCUAGGCACGCGGGUGGGCUACAAGCACAGGCUGGGCUUGCAUGCGCACUAAGUGCUGGGCAUGCGUUGAGUUUAUGGGGCCUAAGCAUGUGCAUACUGGCCUACUACAUGCAUGCGGGGCAUGGGCU